AUUGAACGCUGGCGGCAUGCCUUACACAUGCAAGUCGAACGGCAGCACGGGAGCAAUCCUGGUGGCGAGUGGCGAACGGGUGAGUAAAGUAUCGGAACGUGCCCAGUCGUGGGGGAUAACGUAGCGAAAGUUACGCUAAUACCGCAUACGAUCUAUGGAUGAAAGCGGGGGAUCGCAAGACCUCGCGCGAUUGGAGCGGCCGAUGUCAGAUAAGGUAGUUGGUGGGGUAAAGGCUGACCAAGCCGACGAUCUGUAGCUGGUCUGAGAGGACGGCCAGCCACACUGGGACUGAGACACGGCCCAGACUCCUACGGGAGGCAGCAGUGGGGAAUUUUGGACAAUGGGCGAAAGCCUGAUCCAGCCAUGCCGCGUGCAGGAUGAAGGCCUUCGGGUUGUAAACUGCUUUUGUACGGAACGAAAAGGUUUGGCCUAAUAAGCUGAGCUCAUGACGGUACCGUAAGAAUAAGCACCGGCUAACUACGUGCCAGCAGCCGCAGUAA
This 500-nucleotide ribosomal RNA is filed under the name uncultured bacterium. Its description in RNAcentral is "partial 16S ribosomal RNA". It matches the Rfam family "Bacterial small subunit ribosomal RNA", at positions 30 to 523 of the family's 1533-position model. The record is from RNAcentral.